Molecule: long non-coding RNA, 1406 nt
Filed under: Homo sapiens (human)
Lineage: Eukaryota; Metazoa; Chordata; Mammalia; Primates; Hominidae
Description: non-protein coding IQCJ-SCHIP1-AS1:6
Source: RNAcentral
ACUUUGUAAGGAACCGCUGGCAGUCGGAGGUCUCACUCCCGCCUCCGCGUCUCCCUGGCCGGCCCCUCCUCCCACCCGCCGGAAGGCUCGGGGUGGGGGGCGCUCUCGGCCCACGCCGGGCAGGGUGGUCCCCCGCCUCCCCAAAAGGUGUGCCUGGCCGGGGCGCGGCGGCAAGUCGCUGCAGGCGCCGUCACCGCCCUAGGGGAGGGAGGACGCGCCCUCCUGGCGGUGGAGCCGGUCCCGCCACCGAGCAUGCCCAGAGGCUGCCGGGCGCGGCGCAGUCCGCAGUCCCGGUUUUCGCGGCGGCAGGCUGGAGCAGGAGGCAGGCUGGGAUGGGGUUGGAGGGGCCAAGAUAGGCCCAAAAGAAGGGGGCACUGGGCGUUAGGGGCGCAGGUCCAGCCAGUUAGCAAGGGCGGCGCGCUGGGAAGAGUGGUGUAUUUUCACGCCGACACCCGUAUUUUCUUGGCUUGCCUCAAGCCGUCUCUGCGUGACUCGUUACCCCGCCGAAGCCACCCGGCAUCCCAAAGCACGAGCCUGGCGCCUCCUAUUCCACGCGGAAGUGCCCGAGUGACCCUGUGAAGGACCUCCCUCCCCUCACACACGCACAUACACAAGCCCAUGUGGGAGCCCGAGUGACGUGUGCUCGGUGGUCAUGCACCAUCAUUUCCCUUCCACCUUCCUCCUCGCCGCUUCCUCUCCCUCCACCGCGCAGCUCCAGCCGCCUUGCCGCCGCCGCAUCCCCUUCCAAGUUCAGGCUGUGGGUGGAACCUGUUGCUUUAGCUCACGUUUCCCUUCCCCUCCGGGCUGCACGCUGAGGAUGACCUCAGCGAGGUGUGUGUAAGGGGAAUGGAGGGUUUGGCUUCCUUGAGACAGAGGAUCUUGCUCGCCUCAAAGAGGAGGGCAGUUUGCCCCCUUCCUCCUGACUCCAAGACAAAAGAGAGAAGACUGAAGAGUGGUAAAGCUUGUGGUGUGAGAUUUGGAUUGUUGGAUCCAGGGCCUCUCAGAGUUCACCUGAGCUUUCCCAAGUCUGGUUUGUUCUCUCUACCCUGCUGCUACUACUGCAAGUGACUUUCACAAGAUGCUUCUGAGCAUAGCAUUGCUCUGCUGUGACCACUGCAGAUGUCAAGAGAAUUUCUGCCUUUUGGAACUUGGACAAUAUUGGCCACCUACCCAGAGAGAGGAGAAGGAUAAUCCAGACAUAAAGGUAGCUCCCACACAUCCUUUGGAUCUCUGAUAAAGAGUCAUAUACUUAAAGAGCCAUCCUCACAUUCCUGCCCAGACUGUGAGCUGCAUGAGAGAGGCCAUGUCUCAUUUUGUUCCAUUACAUCUCCAGCACUUAAGAGUGCUGGACACAUAACGAGUGUCUGACACAUAACGAGUGCUGAAUAAAUGUUUGUUAACUGAUA